AUUGAACGCUGGCGGCAUGCCUUACACAUGCAGGUCGAACGGCAGCACGGGAGCAAUCCUGGUGGCGAGUGGCGAACGGGUGAGUAAAGUAUCGGAACGUGCCCAGUCGUGGGGGAUAACGUAGCGAAAGUUACGCUAAUACCGCAUACGAUCUAUGGAUGAAAGCGGGGGAUCGCAAGACCUCGCGCGAUUGGAGCGGCCGAGAUCAGAUUAGGUAGUCGGUGGGGUAAAGGCUCACCAAGGCGACGAUCUGUGGCUGGUCUGAGAGGACGACCAGCCACACUGGGACUGAGACACGGCCCAGACUCCUACGGGAGGCAGCAGUGGGGAAUUUUGGACAAUGGGCGAAAGCCUGAUCCAGCCAUGCCGCGUGCAGGAUGAAGGCCUUCGGGUUGUAAACUGCUUUUGUACGGAACGAAAAGGUUUGGCCUAAUAAGCUGAGCUCAUGACGGUACCGUAAGAAUAAGCACCGGCUAACUACGUGCCAGCCGCCGCCGUAA
This 500-nucleotide ribosomal RNA is filed under the name uncultured bacterium. RNAcentral's name for it is "partial 16S ribosomal RNA". It matches the Rfam family "Bacterial small subunit ribosomal RNA", at positions 29 to 523 of the family's 1533-position model. The record is from RNAcentral.